CGUUUCCCUUUUUGUUUUUGGCCUUCAGGGCUUUGUAAUGUGUACUUCACCAAUGAAAUGAAAAUGAAGUUGUCUAUUACCUUGUCCAUUUUGGUGUUGAGUUGUCAUUUACCGAACUUCUUUUGUCUUUCAUCCUGUUCGAUGUCGACGUUGUUUGAAGAUUCCUGAUCGUCACUGUGCUGAUUCACCCUUUGGGAUCGAAGAUUUUCGACAAGGGUCUUCUUCCUCGUUGAGG
RNAcentral lists this long non-coding RNA (235 nucleotides) under Elaeis guineensis (African oil palm). Its description in RNAcentral is "long non-coding RNA (EGUI_LNC080541)". Lineage: Eukaryota; Viridiplantae; Streptophyta; Magnoliopsida; Arecales; Arecaceae. The record is from RNAcentral.